UUGAAACAGUAUGAUCUCUUUCAUGUUGAUCAUACAAGGUAUGUUGCUAACUUGAGCUUUUCAUAUUUUUGUGAGAAACCAAUGGAGUAUGAAAAGAUAUUAAUCAAUCCCUAACACUUAAUAAUCAACUUGACUAUCUCCCUCUCUUUCCGUAACCAACUCAAAUCACUUUCUUAUAAAACCCCUAACUUAUUAUACUCCAAAACAAAACAUCAUCCAUUACUGUUACCUCUCUGUAGAAACUUGGAAAUCAAAAAAAAUAUGUAAUUAAAAGAAUGUUUCUUUGGCUGGUUAUUGUCUUCAUGAUUUCAGCUUCUGUCUUUUCCCAUGAAUUCAGACUCCAUUGGUUUGUUCCAACAGCAAAUGCUUCUACAAGUCUCACUGAUUGUGUUUCUAAUAAACGGUUUCAAGCCGGAGACACCAGUUGUAUAAGUAUACACCUAAACCCCAAUAAAGUUUUCACUUCAAUUUUUAAAAAAAUCUUUGUGAGUUUUGUUUGUUCUUUUUUUGGUUCUCUGCAGUUAAAAGGAUUAAGUACAAAAAAGAUUCAUUUAUGUAAGAUAAAACUCAUGGAAAGAGAGAUUCAGUGAAUACAAAAAAGAAAGAAAUGCUGCUGGGUUGGGUUGAAG
RNAcentral lists this long non-coding RNA (629 nucleotides) under Brassica rapa (field mustard). RNAcentral's name for it is "long non-coding RNA (BRAP_LNC004743)". The record is from RNAcentral. Lineage: Eukaryota; Viridiplantae; Streptophyta; Magnoliopsida; Brassicales; Brassicaceae.